UUUUUUUUUAUUUUUAAUUUUUUUUGUCUUUUUCUAGAGAACAGUUUAUUUUUUUAAUUUUUAUUUUAUUUUUGUGUUUUUCUAGGUAAGUGGAUUUAGUGAUUACCCAGGGUUUCAAUACCAGUGAUGUAACGUUACUGUAAGGCAGAACAUUAUUGUGAAAACUUUCUGUUGAGAGAUGCCUGGAGGAUGCCUCUGUUGAGGAGGUAAACUCAAACCCUAGCUUCCCAACCCCAUGGUCCUCUUCCUCAGGUCUUGCACUAGACCAGGUGGUGGUGGGCAUGCAAAUCCCUUUUGGGAAAGACCAGAAGAAGAGGGUCAUGGGGUUUGGGAAGUGGUGCCUCUUCCCUUCCUAGGGUUUGAGUUUGCCUCUGGGCUUGGGGAGAAAGCCCUGCAGUACCUGAGCCGUGUCAACCUGGAACGGGGGAGAAGGCAGCGUAGACUUGCUCUUGUUGGGCAAAGACAUAAAUGAUGGCGUCCGAGCGACAUCACUAGAAAGGAAAUGCUUACAGCGUGUCAGGUACUAUUUGAAUCAUUUUAUGUUUAAGUCUUUCUCACAGCCUAUGACGCUGUCAUUUCUGUAGGUCAGAGCUGGUAAAAUAUUGUCACUUCGACAUAGUUUACAGAUUUUCCACCUUAAGAUGUGAACAAAAGAUUUUUUAAUAAUGACCCAACGUCCCAAAGCUAAUGGGUGGCUGUACAGAUCAAGUGUUCUUGCAGGAACAAAAGGCACCUUCAGAAGGGGAUGACUGAGACAUUAAUGAAAGACUGCUUACAGAUGGGGUUAAAUGAAAUCAACAAGGAUAGAGGAAGUUUCUGGAAAAGCCAUCUUAAAGCAGUCCAGUGGGCACUGGGAGGUGGCUGGAGCUGGAAGCAGGGGGGUGAAGUGUGUGUGUGUGUCUGUGUUUAGGACGGGUGACUUAGAAGUCACCUCUCAGUGUGCUGGUCUUAUAGAUGGUGCCAGUACAAAAGGACUGAGGUCAGGUGUUUAUUCUUUAUAAUAUACAAUGCCUGUCAAAAAUUUUUGCAGGAGCCAUUCCGAGCACAGCAUGGACCACUGCAAGGGAUUGACAGCUAGAUAUUAGUCACGAGUUCUUAAAUACCAUCCAUUUAUCAUCAGCCCUUAAUUAAUGGGGAUCCUUCUGCCCAGAACACGCAGUGAGACUUCUGCCUCCUCUUUAUCCCCUGCCCCCUGCCGGGUCACACUGAGGAGGAAGGAGAAUGACAUGCAAACAUGAUGUCCAAGUUUGAAGAAGCCACCUGUAGCCAGAGCAGCCAGUUCUUGGUAAGUGUCCGGAUACUGUCAGUCAAGCCCGACUUCCCUCUCAACUUUUCAUCUUUACACUGUCUCUUGCCAACCUCUGUUCCCUCUGUUCCAGCUGCCCCCUUCCUCCACUGGCUCCCAUCCGCUAACCCUGAUGGAUGGAAAAUACUUUCUCAGAAGUGACUAGAAGAAACCUGAGAAAUGACUCUUGCACAAGGAAGCCAGGCUGCCCACCCCAUUUGAGGAUGUGUUCAAUCCUAAGGAUAACUCACCUAUUUUAUUGUAUUUUAUUUUUUGGCUGUACCGAUGGCCUGUGGAAGUUCCUAGGUCAGGGUUGAAACUGCACCACAGCAGUGCCAAUGCCAGAUCUUUAGCCCACUGUAUCACCACGGAACUCUGCACCCAUUUUAAAAUCUAAGAACAUCCCAACCAAUGCCCAUGGCGCCCACAGCUGGCUUGACUUCCCCAGAUGCUCCUGAUAAUCUAAUUCUCUCCUAACAUAAGAGGUAAUGUCAUGCUUCAUGCUUCAAAUGGACCAUCCCUGUAUCUUUUUUUCAGGAAACACUCCUUCACCUUAAAUUCAAGUGUUUAAAAGUUCAAAGCACUUAAUGUUUGCACAUAAAGUGAAUUUUAGAUUACAUUCUUUUUUGGAGAGAGUCACAUAACGGGCUGUUACAAAUUCAUUCCAAAAAGCAACUUUCAGAUUCUGUCCUGAGGUCAGUAACAUACAUUCCCUUUGCCUCCUGUACUUACAACUCUGUAAUUACAACUCAAGAAAUAAUAUAUGAGGAUUCUGAUACAUGGAAAGAUCCUGAAAAAGUGUUUUGAAUUAUUAAAGAAGAAAUCAUUCAUAGUAUUGGCAUGAAGUAUAUUACACAGUACUGUCAGCCUUUGAACAUUGCUAAGUCAUGUGUGACAUAUACGGUAUAAAGAAAUCAGACUACUCUGUUCUACCUAUUUCUGCUAGUUGAGAAGUUUUAUACAAAAAAUUCAUUUAAUAAUUCUGACACCUGUGGUCAAUUAAUCUUUGACAAAGGAGGCAAAGAAUAUAAAAUGAGAAAAAGACAGUCUUUUCAGCAAGUGGUGCUGGGAAAACUGGACAGCAACAUGUAAAUCAGUGAAACUAGAACACACCCUCACACCAUGCACAAAAAUAAAUAACACUGUAAAUCAGCUAUAAUAGAAAAGAUAAAAAUCAUUAUAAAAAUGGCCUAAAGACUUAAACAUAAGACAUCAUAAAACUAGAAGAGAACAUAGGCAAAAUAUUCUCUGACAUCAACUGUGUAAAUGUUUCCUUAGGUCAGUCUCCCAAGGCAAGAGAAGUAAAAGCAAAAAUAAUGGGACCUAAUCAAACGUAAAAGCUUUUGCACAGCAAAGGAAAUAAAACCCCAAAAAGACACCCUAUGGAAUGGGAGAACAUAGUUGCAAAUGAUACAACGAACAAGGGCUUAAUCCCCAAAAUAUACAAACAACUCAUACAACUCAACAGCAAAAACAAAAACAAAAAGCAAAAAAACCUGAACAACAACAACAAAAACAACCCAAAUGAAAAAUGGGCAGAAAACCUAGAUAUUUCUCCAAAGAAGAUAUACAGAUAGCCAACAAACACAUGAAAAAAAUGCUCAACAUCACUAAUUAUUAGAGAAAUGUAGAUCAAAACUACAAUGAGGUACCAUCUCACACUGGUCAGAACAGCUAUCAUUAAUAAGUCUACAAAUAACAAGUGCUAGAGAGGGUGUGGAGAAAAGGGAACCCUACUUCUCUGUUGGUGGGAAUGUAGACUGGUACAACCAUUAUGGAAAACAGUAUGGAGGUUCCUCAGAGAACUAAAUAUAGAACUACCAGAAGUUUCAGUAAUCCCACUCCUGGGCAUAUAUCUGGAUAAAAAAACUUUCAUUCUAAAAGAUACAUGCACCACUAUAUUCAUUCCAGCACUAUUCACAAUAGCCAAGACAUGGAAACAGCCUAAAUGUCCAUUGACAGAUGAAUGGAUUAAGAAGAUGUGGUAUAUAUACACAAAGGAAUACUACUCAGCCAUAAAAAAGAAAAUACCAUUUGCAGCAACAUGGAUAGAACUAGAGAUUCUCAUACUAAGUGAAGUAAGUCAGAAAGAGAAAGACAAAUACCAUAUGAUAUCACUUAUAUGUGGAAUCUAAAAUGUGGCACAAAUGAACCUAUCUACAAAACAGAAACAAACUCAUGGGCAGAGAACAGACUUGUGGUUGCCAAGCAGGAGGGGGAGGGAGUGGGAUGGACUGGGAGUUUGGGGUUAGUAGAUGCAAACUGUUGCAUUUGGAGUGAAUAAGCAAUGAGAUCCUGCUGUAUAGCUUAGAGAACUACAUCCAAUCCCUUGUGAUGGAAAAUAAUGGAAGAUAUGAGAAAAAGAAUGUAUACACAUACACACACACACAUACAUAUAUAUAACUUGGGUGUCACUUUGCUGUACAGCAGAAAUUGACAGGACACUGUCAAUCAACUAUAAUAAACAUUUUUUUUAAUUUAAAAAAGAUUUUUAAAAAGUCAAAAAAAAAUUGGAAGAACUACUGGAUAAGAAACUCAAUCCAGGAGUUCCUGUUGUGGCUCAGUGGGUUGAGGACCUAAUGUGGUCUCUGUGAGGAUGCAGGUUUGAUCCCUGGUCUCACUCAGUGGAUGAAGGACCCGGCAUUGCCACAAGCUGUGGCAUAGUCCACAGAUGUGGACUGGAUCUGGGGUUGCUGUGGCACCUGCAGCUCCAAUUUGACCCCUAGCCCGGGAACGUCCAUAUGCCGGGGUGCGGCCAGUCGUUGCACCUCUGGGUUUUUCUGUUACCACCUCUAGAGAGGAGAUGCGCUACGACCUCCAAGUUAUAAAAAUCCUCCUGUCAUCCCCACCCUUCUCUUUAGAGCCCAAACUUUGGACUUCAGCUGCAGCUCCUUCUGGGGGUGGGUGUUGCCAUCAGAAGCCCUUUGGUGACCCUCGGUCACUUGUACUGGCAUUGUCACUCUUGGGACAUUUCCCUUAGACUUCUGCUGGUCUCUGUUAAACCAUCAUUUAGUUAACACUCCCGCAGUUACAGAGCAGAGGACAGAACCGGCAGCAGAUGGUAUCUGGAAGCAUAAAGUGACAGACCUGGGAACAUUCCUGGGUGAGAAGCUUCUAUUUCCAGAGUCCUGCUCCUCACCCGGUUCCAGCUCCUUUAUCUGGUGAAGUUCCACAUCCUUUAAGGAUCAAGUCCAAUGUCACUUCUACCUCACUUGGGAGAGGUUCUUUCUCCUCUGGGCUCCUAAUUUUUACCCACCACUGUCACAUCUGUCAUCACCUCCUAUUGCAUAUUGAUUUUUUGCCUGCUUGCUCACCUCUUUAGGAAUAUCCUUACAAGUGGCCACGAUUGGUUCUUCUCUAGGGUAGCUUAUUUCCAGGCUCUGUGAGCCUGUGUGUAAGGCCUGCCUUGGGUGAUUAUAACAAACAAAUGCUGAAGCCCUUUUGGGUGCAUCAUUUCAAUCUUUUAAAGAUGAUUUCUGGUGCUUCCCUCCUUGGGAACUUUCUACUUUCCUGUCACUUUGGUGAUUCUUAUCAGUGUUCCCUGGUAGACAAUUAAUGGUAUGAUUUUUUUGACCAAUUAGCUCAGGAAGCUCAGACUUCAGCAUCUUAAAAAAAAAAAAAAAAAUCCCCAAGUGGAGUUCCCGUCGAGGCUCAGUGGUUAACGAAUUUGACUAGGAACCAUGAGGUUGUGGGUUCGAUCCCUGGCCUCGCUCAGUGGGUUAAGGAUCGGGCGUUACUGUGAGCUGUGGUGUAGGUCGCAGAUGUGGCUUGGAUCCCACUUUGCUGUGGCUGUGGCGUAGGCUGGUGGCUACAAGUCCGAUUAGACCCUUAGCCUGGGAACCUCCAUAUGCCAUGGGCGUGGCCCUAGAAAAGCCAAAAAAAAGAAAAAAAAAAAGAAAAAGAAAAAAGGAAAAAAAAAAUCCCCAAAUAAUAACCAGCUCAAGAAUACAAAUGUUCUAUGCAGUUCUGGAAUGCUAUCACUUAUUGACUCUAUUCAUUAAAAAAAAAAGGUGCAUGCAAAUCUAAAAUCCCCACACAGAAAAUGGAACUAAUCCACAAAUAAGUGCGUGCCUCAUACACACCUACAUACCAACAAGUAACACGAGAAUCAUAGGAACCUGCAUGUGUAGGUUCUGGAUUCAUCUGGAUUCAUGCUGAACAUUGCUAAGCAUUGUGCCAGCUGCUUCACAGGCCCAGUAUCUUUGACACUAUCCUUGAAAUUCAUGAUGGCAUGAGGGUCAUCACACAUAAGCAUUUUCUUUUUGUCCCUCUGAACAAAGUGAACAUUGACCCGGAUACAGGGAAGGAUCCUAGCUGGGGUCACUCACAUCGCUUGAAUCAUAACAAGAGAAAGACUUUUGCAGUCUCCGAACUUUUUUCAAGCAGAAGCAAGCAGCUGUUCCUGAGAUAAAGCAGUGUGAGUUCUCAUAUACAGAGUUAGUGAUGCAUGGCAUUGAGGGGAGAGGUGAGGGGGGAACUCAAUCAUUGCAUCAAACUGCCGUUUUCAAUUUUACAAAGAACUCUUGCAUGUGUUCUUAUUUGAUAAUAGCCUCACAGAAUCAAAGGCUUUUCACCAUAGCAACCUUAGUAGUUGGCCCUUUUUAACAUUGAAGAAACUGAGGCUCAAAUGCUUAAGUGACUCCCUUAGAGUGACAAAACUAGUUAAGUGGUAGGAGAUGGGAUUACUGAGUCCAGGGUCUACAGGUUUAGCUUUUGUUUUUUUAGGACAUGCUUGCUUAAAGAAAGACAGCACUAGUGAGAGACAGUUUUACACAGAGGAAAGCAAAAAUUGAGCCAACCACAGAAGCACCCUCUUUCAAUUAUACAGUGGUUAACACUUAAAAUUACUUUCCCAGUAUCCUAAAUGACUGCCCUUACAAAGCAAAUGCACUGCCUAAACCAUGGCUGCAUGCUUUUUCUUUACUUGGAAGGAUCUCUCAGAGAGCAUUACUAAAAAUAACUUCAUUAUCUGUAAUAGAAACUCAUCUAUCACCAUUCUAAUUAGAAUGUGACUAAAGAAAUCAGUAGUGAACAAAGGCGUUUUGGACAUUUGGUGCCUAUAAUGAUGGCUUUGAAGUUCCAGGGAAAAGUCAGUUUUCCAAAUGUCUCCUCAUUUAUAUCUCUCACUCGCCAUUCUUCUCAGUUCUCAAAGAAACUGUUUUUAAAUAUAUAUAAUAAUGGUAAUAGACAUUUGCAGAAACUGGAAAAAUAGAACAGCACAAAGAAGGAAAAAAAAACUUAUAUGCUCUCCUCUCAGAGAAAAUCACUACUAUUUUGAUGUGCCUGAGCAUUUUCUGCACAGAUAAGCAUUUCUGCCUACUUAGCACCAUAGUGUAUAAACUCUUUUGUUACCCACUUUCACACUUAUUAGAAUUAUUUCCUCCAUCAGGUAGAUAUUCUACAGUUUUUGGUGGUUGCACAGUAUUCUACUUACUAAAUUGCAUUAUUUAUAAAUUUUCCACUUCACUGAAUAGUUACUGAUUUUUAUGAGCAACCGUGCUAAAUAGCCUUGUAUAUUAAUUUCUGCAAACCUGUCAUAUUGAAGAAAAAUUCCCAGAAACAGAUUUGCUGGGUCAAAUCUUUAGGCAAAAUUUAAGAAUAUACAUCUUGGGAGUUCCCGUCGUGGCGCAGUGGUUAACGAAUCCGACUAGGAAACAUGAGGUUGUGGGUUCGGUCCCUGCCCUUGUUUAGUGGGUUAACGAUCCGGCAUUGCUGUGAGCUGUGGUGUAGGUUGCAGAUGUGGCUCAGAUCCCGCGUUGCUGUGGCUCUGGCAUAGGCCAGUGGCUACAGCUCCGAUUCGACCCCUAGCCUGGGAACCUCCAUAUGCCGCGGGAGCGGCCCAAAGAAAUAGCAAAAAG
RNAcentral lists this long non-coding RNA (7143 nucleotides) under Sus scrofa (pig). RNAcentral's name for it is "lncRNA (ENSSSCG00065027996.1)". Lineage: Eukaryota; Metazoa; Chordata; Mammalia; Artiodactyla; Suidae. The record is from RNAcentral.